RNAcentral lists this transfer RNA (84 nucleotides) under Candidatus Pacearchaeota archaeon. Its description in RNAcentral is "tRNA-Leu". It matches the Rfam family "tRNA". Rfam says of the family: Transfer RNA (tRNA) molecules are approximately 80 nucleotides in length. Their secondary structure includes four short double-helical elements and three loops (D, anti-codon, and T loops). Further hydrogen bonds mediate the characteristic L-shaped molecular structure. tRNAs have two regions of fundamental functional importance: the anti-codon, which is responsible for specific mRNA codon recognition, and the 3' end, to which the tRNAs corresponding amino acid is attached (by aminoacyl-tRNA synthetases). tRNAs cope with the degeneracy of the genetic code in two manners: having more than one tRNA (with a specific anti-codon) for a particular amino acid; and 'wobble' base-pairing, i.e. permitting non-standard base-pairing at the 3rd anti-codon position. The record is from RNAcentral. Lineage: Archaea; Nanobdellati.
GCGGGGAUGCCGGAGUGGUCAAACGGGCCAGGUUUAGGACCUGGUAGCUUAGUGCUUACAUAGGUUCGAAUCCUGUUCUCCGCA